RNAcentral lists this ribosomal RNA (398 nucleotides) under uncultured bacterium. RNAcentral describes it as "partial 16S ribosomal RNA". It matches the Rfam family "Bacterial small subunit ribosomal RNA", at positions 523 to 918 of the family's 1533-position model. The record is from RNAcentral.
AUACGUAGGGGGCGAGCGUUGUCCGGAAUGAUUGGGCGUAAAGGGCGCGUAGGCGGCCCGGUAAGUCUGGAGUGAAAGUCCUGUUUUUAAGAUGGGAAUUGCUUUGGAUACUGUCGGGCUUGAGUGCAGGAGAGGUAAGUGGAAUUCCCAGUGUAGCGGUGAAAUGCGUAGAGAUUGGGAGGAACACCAGUGGCGAAGGCGACUUACUGGACUGUAACUGACGCUGAGGCGCGAAAGUGUGGGGAGCAAACAGGAUUAGAUACCCUGGUAGUCCACACUGUAAACGAUGAAUGCUAGGUGUAGGGGGUAUCGCCCCCUUCUGUGCCGCAGUCAACACAAUAAGCAGUUCCGCCUGGGGAGUUCGGCCGCAAGGUUGAAACUCAAAUGAAUUGUCGGUG